GCCACCGAGGAGCGUUGCGACCCGAAUCGAGCUGAUUCGGGCCAGGCUCGGCGGCAGGGUCGACUUUUCCAACGGCGCUCACUCACG
RNAcentral lists this non-coding RNA (87 nucleotides) under Thiocystis violascens. RNAcentral describes it as "SAH sequence". It matches the Rfam family "SAH (S-adenosyl-L-homocysteine) riboswitch aptamer". The record is from RNAcentral. RNAcentral also lists the same sequence under 1 other name. Lineage: Bacteria; Pseudomonadati; Pseudomonadota; Gammaproteobacteria; Chromatiales; Chromatiaceae.